CAUCCCUGGGCUACCAUACGGUCUCAAAGGCAACGUAACCAAUCUGGCAAAUUUCAAUGUGAAAAAAGAGAAAUGCAAGCUUUAUAUUUGACUCUCUAACUUUCCAAAACACCAUACUUAGGGGGUACUGUUAUACUUGGGAGACUUCACUGAACACAAACACAAGUGUUUCAAAACAGUAAAACAUAUUACAACAAUCAUAUAGUCAGUAAAAGUGCCGUUCAUGUGUGAAAAAUGCAAAACACUUCACUUUUACUAAAUAUAUCAUCAUUGUAAUACAAGUUACAAUUUUGAAACACUAAUAUUUGUGUUCAGCAAAGUCUCCCGAG
Non-coding RNA from Pelobates cultripes (western spadefoot toad), 329 nucleotides. The record is from the annotation of a GenBank genome assembly. Lineage: Eukaryota; Metazoa; Chordata; Amphibia; Anura; Pelobatidae.